CCUACGGGAGGCAGCAGUGAGGAAUAUUGGUCAAUGGCCGGAAGGCUGAACCAGCCAUGCCGCGUGAAGGUCAGUGCCCUAUGGGCGUUAAACUUCUUUUGUGCGGGAGCAAUAAUGGUCACGUGUGGCCCGACGAGAGUACCGUACGAAUAAGCAUCGGCUAACACCGUGCCAGCCGCCGAGGUAAUACGGGGGAAGCAAGCGUUAUCCAGAUUUAUUGGGUUUAGAGGGUGCGUCGGCUGGAGUGUAAGUCAGCGGUGAAAUGCCCCGGCUCAACGGGGUGAAGUGCCAUUGAUACUGCCGAGCUGGAAUGCGGAUGCGGUAGGAGGAAGGUGUGGUGUAGCGGUGAAAUGCAUAGAGAUCACACAGAACACCGAUUGCGAAGGCAGCUCACGAAUCCGCGAUUGACGCUGAUGCACGAAAGCGUGGGUAUCAAACAGGAUUAGAUACCCGGGUAGUC
RNAcentral lists this ribosomal RNA (460 nucleotides) under uncultured bacterium. Its description in RNAcentral is "partial 16S ribosomal RNA". It matches the Rfam family "Bacterial small subunit ribosomal RNA", at positions 338 to 795 of the family's 1533-position model. The record is from RNAcentral.